GACACAGUGGCCGAGUGGUUAAGGCGUCAGACUUGAAGCGCCUCUUGAAAAAGAUUCAUCCAAGUAAAGAGGACGAGAUAUCUGAUUCCCUAGGGAUCGCAGGUUCGAAUCCUGUCUGUGUCG
Molecule: non-coding RNA, 123 nt
Organism: Neonectria magnoliae
Lineage: Eukaryota; Fungi; Ascomycota; Sordariomycetes; Hypocreales; Nectriaceae
Source: the annotation of a GenBank genome assembly